GUCGAGCGAACGGACGAGAAGCUUGCUUCUCUGAUGUUAGCGGCGGACGGGUGAGUAACACGUGGAUAACCUACCUAUAAGACUGGGAUAACUUCGGGAAACCGGAGCUAAUACCGGAUAAUAUUUUGAACCGCAUGGUUCAAAAGUAAAAGACGGUCUUGCUGUCACUUAUAGAUGGAUCCGCGCUGCAUUAGCUAGUUGGUAAGGUAACGGCUUACCAAGGCAACGAUGCAUAGCCGACCUGAGAGGGUGAUCGGCCACACUGGAACUGAGACACGGUCCAGACUCCUACGGGAGGCAGCAGUAGGGAAUCUUCCGCAAUGGGCGAAAGCCUGACGGAGCAACGCCGCGUGAGUGAUGAAGGUCUUCGGAUCGUAAAACUCUGUUAUUAGGGAAGAACAUAUGUGUAAGUAACUGUGCACAUCUUGACGGUACCUAAUCAGAAAGCCACGGCUAACUACGUGCCAGCAGCCGCGGUAAUACGUAGGUGGCAAGCGUUAUCCGGAAUUAUCGGGCGUAAAGCGCGCGUAGGCGGUUUUUUAAGUCUGAUGUGAAAGCCCACGGCUCAACCGUGGAGGGUCAUUGGAAACUGGAAAACUUGAGUGCAGAAGAGGAAAGUGGAAUUCCAUGUGUAGCGGUGAAAUGCGCAGAGAUAUGGAGGAACACCAGUGGUGAAGGCGACUUUCUGGUCUGUAACUGACGCUGAUGUGCGAAAGCGUGGGGAUCAAACAGGAUUA
RNAcentral lists this ribosomal RNA (737 nucleotides) under uncultured Staphylococcus sp. RNAcentral describes it as "bacterial SSU rRNA". It matches the Rfam family "Bacterial small subunit ribosomal RNA", at positions 61 to 780 of the family's 1533-position model. Lineage: Bacteria; Bacillati; Bacillota; Bacilli; Caryophanales; Staphylococcaceae. The record is from RNAcentral.